RNAcentral lists this ribosomal RNA (463 nucleotides) under uncultured bacterium. RNAcentral describes it as "bacterial SSU rRNA". It matches the Rfam family "Bacterial small subunit ribosomal RNA", at positions 917 to 1382 of the family's 1533-position model. The record is from RNAcentral.
GGGCCCGCACAAGCAGCGGAGCAUGUGGUUUAAUUCGAAGCAACGCGAAGAACCUUACCAGGUCUUGACAUCCUUUGACCGUCUGAGAGAUCAGAUUUUCCCUUCGGGGACAAAGUGACAGAUGGUGCAUGGUUGUCGUCAGCUCGUGUCGUGAGAUGUUGGGUUAAGUCCCGCAACGAGCGCAACCCCUAUGUUUAGUUGCCAUCAUUCAGUUGGGCACUCUAGACAGACUGCCUGUGAAAGCAGGAGGAAGGUGGGGAUGACGUCAAAUCAUCAUGCCUCUUACGACCUGGGCUACACACGUGCUACAAUGGUCUGUACAGAGGGUAGCGAAGCAGUGAUGCGGAGCCAAUCUCAAAAAACAGAUCUCAGUUCGGAUUGCAGGCUGCAACUCGCCUGCAUGAAGUCGGAGUUGCUAGUAAUCGCGAAUCAGAAUGUCGCGGUGAAUGCGUUCCCGGGCCUU